RNAcentral lists this long non-coding RNA (1140 nucleotides) under Anser brachyrhynchus (Pink-footed goose). Its description in RNAcentral is "lncRNA (ENSABRG00000004464.1)". Lineage: Eukaryota; Metazoa; Chordata; Aves; Anseriformes; Anatidae. The record is from RNAcentral.
GGGGAUGCUAGCUCCUGGCAGCCUGUGUGCUUGUCGCUUCACAUGUUAUUUGUCAUUCCUUUUACACUGAAUAGUCCUUAACCAAGUAACUCAAUGAAACAGGUGCUCUCAGGGUGCACAUAGAAAAAAAAAAUAUGAGAGAGAGAGAGAGAAUUAGGGUUAUUCAGCUCUCUUACAUUUUUACCAGUAUUUCAUCAUUUGCUAUGAUCCUGAAACAUGAGGAAAAAUUCCAGUGUUUAUUCCAAACCCUUUUAAAGAAACAGGUCAACAAAACCAGACUACAAAAAGGCAGAACCCUUGGACUUUUAAACUGAUGUUAAACCUUUCCCGUCAGGGCAAGCUCAAUUUUAUAAUUCCUAUAGCUAUCAUAUUAUGGUGUCUGAUGAGACCUGCAGUUUGGCUUGAUUAUUGUAUUCACUAUGAACCAAGCUUUCCUCAUACAUUUCCCAUCUUGCCUCACAUGGUGUGGUCAGGGGAGAGUUUGCAGCCCUCAGAGGAUGCACAGAUCAGACAGGAGACCUGUGAGCAGACUGCCUGGCCACAGUUUCCAUAAAAGCAGUGCAGCAUGCCAGGAAAACAGAGCUUAAUGCUGAACUGAUUCAGAGGAGAACGCUUGGGGUAAGGAGAAUGUGCAUCGUGUUUAAACAACUCAAAUUGUAACCUGUUCUGCACUCUACAUCCCCUGAUGUGCCACAGCUCGGUUUGCUCGCUUCAUGCAAGAAGGGUCUGGCUGAAGAGGCAGGAACAUGCAUCAUGGUCGCGCCCUCGCGGAGACCUGCAGAGGUGGCUGCAGCACAGGAAGCAAGCAGUGCGAAGGUGCGUGCCUUCAGGAAACCCGCAGUUUUCUUCAGGUCCACUGAGAUUUGUGCUGAACAACAGGCUUACAGAUGAAGAGGAGAGGAAUCUUUAUCAUGCAGCCUCAGAGCUCGCGCUGCCAGGAGCACACUGGCUCCAAGGAGGAAGAGCGUGCAUGUAAUGAAUAUAUACUGACCUUCUGAAGCUGGAUCUAGCAUGACUUUUUGCUAGCAUUUUUGUCUAAGAGAAAAAGUCACUUAAUGCGACUGCUUACUGCUUAAUGUUAUGUAAAGGACAAGCUGUUCCUAAAAUAAAACUUCCUCUACAGAAUAUAGUUGUACUGUG